GCGUUAAUCGGAAUUAUUGGGCGUAAAGCGUGCGCAGGCGGUUGUGCAAGUCAGAUGUGAAAUCCCCGGGCUCAACCUGGGAACUGCAUUUGUGACUGCACAGCUAGAGUACGGCAGAGGGGGAUGGAAUUCCGCGUGUAGCAGUGAAAUGCGUAGAUAUGCGGAGGAACACCGAUGGCGAAGGCAAUCCCCUGGACCUGUACUGACGCUCAUGCACGAAAGCGUG
This 226-nucleotide ribosomal RNA is filed under the name uncultured bacterium. RNAcentral describes it as "partial 16S ribosomal RNA". It matches the Rfam family "Bacterial small subunit ribosomal RNA", at positions 538 to 763 of the family's 1533-position model. The record is from RNAcentral.